UACGUAGGGGGCAAGCGUUGUCCGGAAUUAUUGGGCGUAAAGAGCGCGUAGGCGGUCCGGUAAGUCAGCUGUGAAAGUCAAGGGCUCAACCCUUGAAAGCCGGUUGAUACUGUCGGGCUAGAGUCCGGAAGAGGCGAGUGGAAUUCCCGGUGUAGCGGUGAAAUGCGCAGAUAUCAGGAGGAACACCAAUGGCGAAGGCAGCACUCUGGGACGUGACUGACGCUGAGACGCGAAAGCGUGGGGAGCAAACAGG
Molecule: ribosomal RNA, 253 nt
Filed under: uncultured bacterium
Lineage: Bacteria
Description: partial 16S ribosomal RNA
Rfam family: Bacterial small subunit ribosomal RNA
Source: RNAcentral